This 608-nucleotide long non-coding RNA is filed under the name Salvia miltiorrhiza (redroot sage). RNAcentral's name for it is "long non-coding RNA (SMIL_LNC000742)". The record is from RNAcentral. Lineage: Eukaryota; Viridiplantae; Streptophyta; Magnoliopsida; Lamiales; Lamiaceae.
UCCUUCAUUUUUGGAUACAGACGGUUGACUUGCGUGACCAAGUUAACCCACUUUAAAAAUUCCUUUUUCCGAUCAGAGUUAAACUUGUCGCCUAUUAAACACUCAUUCCAAUCCUUCGACACAAGAGAGAGGUGAACGAAGGUCCGGAUUGUGGUGGGAGCUUGAAUAAGUGUAUCCAGUAAUAGCCAUUUGACCUCGUGUGGGAUUUGCACUUGCACCUCCUCUUCCUACUCCAUUUCCUGCAUCAAUAUUAAAUUUCAGUCAUAUUAAUUAAUCAUUGAAUGAACAAAAACAAAAGUAUAGAGUUUGAAUGUUAGUAAUAAACUCAUUAACCAUACAUAUCACAUGAAAGACACAUAUAAUUAUAAGCUCAAGAUUUUAGAAAACAACCUCUUUGAAAUUAAAAUAGGUCUUUGAAAAAAAAAGGCAAAAAUUAAUAUUAAAAGAUUGUCAAAGCGAUGCCUAAUGAAGAAAGAUGUUAACGGUUAUACCACGCAUGUCUUGUGUUAAGCAAGUACUCUCUCCGUCCCACGAAUCUUGACACGUUUGAUUUCGGCACGGGAAUUAAGGAAUUGUAGAUUACUGUUUUAAUUGUGUAGUUAGUAAAG